Molecule: ribosomal RNA, 482 nt
Filed under: uncultured bacterium
Lineage: Bacteria
Description: partial 16S ribosomal RNA
Rfam family: Bacterial small subunit ribosomal RNA
Source: RNAcentral
AUUGAACGCUGGCGGCAUGCCUUACACAUGCAAGUCGAACGGUAACGGGCCUGCGGGUGCCGACGAGUGGCGAACGGGUGAGUAAUACAUCGGAACGUGCCCGAUCGUGGGGGAUAACGAGGCGAAAGCUUUGCUAAUACCGCAUACGAUCUACGGAUGAAAGCAGGGGACCGCAAGGCCUUGCGCGGACGGAGCGGCCGAUGGCAGAUUAGGUAGUUGGUGGGAUAGAAGCUUACCAAGCCGACGAUCUGUAGCUGGUCUGAGAGGAUGAUCAGCCACACUGGGACUGAGACACGGCCCAGACUCCUACGGGAGGCAGCAGUGGGGAAUUUUGGACAAUGGGCGCAAGCCUGAUCCAGCCAUGCCGCGUGAAGGAUGAAGGCCUUCGGGUUGUAAAAUGCUUUUGUACGGAACGAAAAGCCUUCUUUUAAUACAGGAGGGUCAUGACGGUACCGUAAGAAUAAGCACCGGCUAACUACGUG